AGCAGCCGCGGUAAUUCCAGCUCCAAUAGCGUAUAUUAAAGUUGUUGCAGUUAAAAAGCUCGUAGUUGAAUUUCGGGGUCAGUAGGUCGGUCGUGCCACUGGUAUGAACUGGUUUUACUGAUUCCUCCCUCUUGAAGAACUGUAAUGCCAUUAAUUUGGUGUUGCAGGGAAUCAGGACUGUUACUUUGAAAAAUUAGAGUGUUUAAAGCAGGCUUUAGCUUGAAUACAUUAGCAUGGAAUAAUGAAAUAGGACGUUUGAUCCUAUUUUGUUGGUUUCUAGGAUUGACGUAAUGAUUAAUAGGGAUAGUUGGGGGCAUUAGUAUUCAAUUGUCAGAGGUGAAAUUCUUGGAUUUAUUGAAGACUAACUACUGCGAAAGCAUUUGCCAAGGAUGUUUUCAUUAAUCAAGAACGAAAGUUAGGGGAUCGAAGACGAUCAGAUACCGUCGUAGC
This 450-nucleotide ribosomal RNA is filed under the name uncultured Glomeromycotina. RNAcentral describes it as "SSU rRNA". It matches the Rfam family "Eukaryotic small subunit ribosomal RNA", at positions 569 to 1024 of the family's 1831-position model. Lineage: Eukaryota; Fungi; Glomeromycota. The record is from RNAcentral.